Molecule: non-coding RNA, 70 nt
Organism: Podarcis lilfordi (Lilford's wall lizard)
Lineage: Eukaryota; Metazoa; Chordata; Lepidosauria; Squamata; Lacertidae
Source: the annotation of a GenBank genome assembly
GGAUAGCUCGGUUGGUUAGAACUUGGUGCUGAUAACACCAAGGUUGCAGGUUUGAUCCUUGUGUGGGACA